RNAcentral lists this long non-coding RNA (243 nucleotides) under Brachypodium distachyon (stiff brome). RNAcentral describes it as "long non-coding RNA (BDIS_LNC000210)". Lineage: Eukaryota; Viridiplantae; Streptophyta; Magnoliopsida; Poales; Poaceae. The record is from RNAcentral.
UCCAAAACCAAACAAUAUCGUGGAGACCACGCAUGUCGCCUAGGAAUACUGGAUGAGCUCAGGAAUAAAUAAAACUAUCCAGAUAUACAGAGAGCUAGCUAGCUAGCUUACUCCUUGGACUGGGGCACAGAAACCGUCGCCGGUGGCGCCGCCGUGGCAGAGGCGGCCGCGGCGGCGCGGACAGCGGCCGAGAAUCUCCGGCAGGUGAUAACCGCGGCACGCGCCGGCCGGCUGCGGUGGCGG